GAAAUGUUUUUUUGUGUUACUUGAUAUAAAUGCAAAAACUGCAGUUUUACUGUAAGGAAUUCUAAAGGUCCUUACAUAAGCCAAAAGAGAAGAUAAUUACAAUGAGAAAAGAAUCCUAUCUCUUUAAAAGAGCAUUUUAUGUGUUUGGGAAUACUGCCUUAGGACAAAUAGCUAGCUUUUCAACUUUUUUAAAAAGCUCUUAUCAAAGCAGUAUCUAAAAGUCAUCAUGAAUCUGGGGAAUUUAAAGAAGAUUAAUUUACAAAUACUCAGACUUCUCUGUCAUUAAAAUGUCAAUGCAAAGCCUUAUAUCUACUAAAAGUAAAUUAUUUGUUUUACCAUUUCCUUUUUUUUUUUUUUUUUUUUUUUUUUUUUCUGCUUUUAGGGUCACACCUGACAUAGAGGUCAAAUUGGAGCUACAGCUGCCAGCCACAGCCACAGCCAUGCAGGAUCUGAGCCAGGUCAUUGACCUACACCACAGCUCACAGCAAUGCUGGAUCCUUAACUCACUGAGUGAGGUCAGGGAUCAAACCCUCAUCCUCAUGGAUCCUAGUCAGGUUCAUUAAUCGCUGAGCCAUGAAGGGUACUCCCGACUUGAUAAUCUUUUUAAACUGCUAAAGGAUGUCUUGAUUUGCAAUGUAAACUCAACUAACUAUGCCUAGCCUCUCUUGCUAAGGAUGGAAAUUAGCUAGUUUAUGUAUACAUCCACUCUGGACUAAGAGGAAACAGUGAACUCUGCAGCCACUGCUAUUUCUCUUCACCUUCACUCUUCUUAGAAACAUAGUAUCCAAAAUUGCAAAUGAAAAAUGCUGAAACUUUUUAUAAAUAUCUAUCAAAUACCGAAAAAAAAUGGACUCACCUUUUAAUGAGAACCACGUAUUUUCUUUACGGUACUUGGACAAUAAGCCCACAAAUCUCCAAGAGUUACCAAGUCUAGGACACGAUAAAAAUCAAUUUUUCACUGAAUGACUGCUCAUCUCCAUUCAGCAUGAAUUAUUGCCUUAUUAAGUACCAGAGACUUUUUCUCCCUAACUGCACACCCCAUUGUACCAAAUCUAGUUAGAUGAAGCAGAAACAAAUUCAUAUUUCCUAACACUUAUUUAAAUUCUUUGGACUAGAAACUGCACCGCAGAUAGUCUUCACAUUUCAUCAAAUUAUUCUCUCAGUCAGAUUCAUACUAACAAGGCUCUCAUGUAUCAUUGCUUUUUGCUUUUUAUGAAAAAGAAAAGAAUCC
Molecule: long non-coding RNA, 1231 nt
Filed under: Sus scrofa (pig)
Lineage: Eukaryota; Metazoa; Chordata; Mammalia; Artiodactyla; Suidae
Description: lncRNA (ENSSSCG00040019004.1)
Source: RNAcentral